GGAAAGUGCGUGAGUGCCGCGCCGGGGCGUCUUAUUUUGUUUUCCGGAUGCUUGAGUCUGGAGGCGGUAUCCUCUGGGAGAGGACCAGCAGGUGGAGGAAAAGGGCUUAUGUGCGUCUUCCGACGUUGACGGCCCCUCUCCCUGUUUCCCUAGGUUUGCUGGGGCGAAUCUUUCUUUGCGGAUUUCGAGAAAGAAGGGGGCCGCCGACUACGCGACUGGGUCAAGUGGCUGACGACGGGUCGGCUUCCUGGGCCGCCACCGCUUAGACCAGCGUGGGGCUGGGCUCAAUUGGCAGUUUAGAAAAAGAGGUAUAUUACAUAUAAAAGUGGAUAUUUUCCAUGAUAAAUGAAAAUGGCCAAUUCUUUAAGAGGAGAAGUAUUGAAUCUUUAUAAGAAUGUAACUGCUGUAUCUUGGACGAGACUAUCCAAAAGGAGCAGACUAUUUCAAAAGGCGUCUGAAGAAUGUUUUCCUUAAAAACAAAGAUGUGAAGGACCCAGAGAAGAUCAAAGAACUUAUUGAACGGGGCAAAUUUGUAAUGAAAGAACUAGAAGCAUUAUACUUCCUUAGGAAAUACAGAGCUAUGAAACAACGCUAUUAUUCAGAUACCAACAAAACUAAAUGAUCAGUAUUACUAUCAUUUGACUGAAGAUCAGUGCCAGCUGUUUAUGUACCAGCUAUGACAAAAAUAACUUUGAAGUGUCAAGAUAUACAUUGUGUUAAAAAUACCUGAGCCGCCUUACUAAACUAAAACAGGUUUCAACUUCUAUUGCUUUAUCAGCAACCUUUAUGCUCUAUUUUUAUAUAACUAAUGUUAAAUGUCAAUUUUAUAGUAAUUUAGCUAUAUAAUGUUGCCAACUACUUAUUAAAAAUUGAUGAGCACCCAAUUUUGAAUGAAAUAUAAUGUACUUAAGUUUUAAUGAAAAAUUUGCCAAUUAUUCUUAGCCCAUUUCUGCAUUUUACUGAGAAGCGAAUGCCGUUUAAUGUACACUUAAGCAGAAUAAUUUCUUGCAAGUUUAUUUCCCUUAACUUUUAAAGGAGCUCAUUUUUUACCCCAUUUGAAAUGUUAACAGCACAUAUCCAGUGUUCACUGCAAAACAAGUAGCAUCUGGUAAUGAUUUAAGUGCAGUUAGUAGAACUAAUAUGUAUAGAGUUAAGAACCUGAAACAGCCUACCAGUGACUGGCAUUACAUAAUAUGCCUAUUUAAUUAUUUAUUUCCAGUAUUAAUUUUGCAAUUGGAUGCCUUUGGGCCUUAAAUCACCUGUUGUAUACCAAUUACCUUCUUCAAUAAAAAGUAAUGAUUUAUGUUAUUCUA
Capra hircus (goat) is the source of this 1313-nucleotide RNA transcript. It is a transcript of the gene named electron transfer flavoprotein regulatory factor 1, with no coding region annotated. The transcript is spliced from 3 exons. The record is from RefSeq and is a predicted model, not a curated record. Lineage: Eukaryota; Metazoa; Chordata; Mammalia; Artiodactyla; Bovidae.